RNAcentral lists this small RNA (559 nucleotides) under Pan troglodytes (chimpanzee). RNAcentral describes it as "retained intron". The record is from RNAcentral. Lineage: Eukaryota; Metazoa; Chordata; Mammalia; Primates; Hominidae.
AUUAAUUGCAUUCUUGCCUGAAGGGGAAUACUGACUUUCAAGAUGGUAUCUUAAGUCUGGGGAGCUGUUUCCUUGCCUAAGAAAGGACCUGAUAAGCAUUGUCUGUUUUGGAGAGGUCAGUGACUAGGGCCUUGCCUUCUUGCUCCCAUCAGAACCCUCCUGGCAUCAUGAGCAUCCUGGAUGACGUGUGCGCCACGAUGCAUGCGGUGGGUGAGGGGGCAGAUCAGACACUGCUCCAGAAACUUCAGAUGCAGAUUGGGAGUCAUGAGCACUUCAACAGUUGGAACCAAGGCUUCAUCAUUCAUCAUUAUGCAGGGAAGGUAUCCUAUGACAUGGAUGGCUUUUGUGAAAGGAACCGGGAUGUGCUUUUUAUGGAUCUCAUCGAGCUUAUGCAGAGCAGCGAGCUGCCUUUCAUAAAGUCUUUAUUUCCGGAAAAUCUGCAGGCUGACAAGAAAGGGCGCCCAACUACUGCCGGAAGCAAAAUAAAGAAACAAGCCAAUGACCUUGUGAGCACCCUGAUGAAAUGUACGCCCCACUACAUUCGCUGCAUCAAGCCAAA